ACGAGUUAGGGUCUCCUAGGCCCGACCUCCCAACCCAAUGUUUAUUUAACCAUUGUUGCUUCGGCGGGCCCGUCUCACGGCCGCCGGAGGACCGUAACACGUCCUCUGGCCCGCGCCCGCCGGUGGCCAUCACAAAACUCUUGUCUAAAUCGUGUUUUAUGUCUGAGUUAAAGUCUUAAAUAAAAGCA
This 188-nucleotide unclassified non-coding RNA is filed under the name uncultured Rhinocladiella. Its description in RNAcentral is "sequence contains ITS1". Lineage: Eukaryota; Fungi; Ascomycota; Eurotiomycetes; Chaetothyriales; Herpotrichiellaceae. The record is from RNAcentral.